Molecule: ribosomal RNA, 468 nt
Filed under: uncultured bacterium
Lineage: Bacteria
Description: partial 16S ribosomal RNA
Rfam family: Bacterial small subunit ribosomal RNA
Source: RNAcentral
GACGAACGCUGGCGGCGUGCUUAACACAUGCAAGUCGAACGGAAAGGCCCUGCUUUUGUGGGGUGCUCGAGUGGCGAACGGGUGAGUAACACGUGAGUAACCUGCCCUUGACUUUGGGAUAACUUCAGGAAACUGGGGCUAAUACCGGAUAGGAGCUCCUGCUGCAUGGUGGGGGUUGGAAAGUUUCGGCGGUUGGGGAUGGACUCGCGGCUUAUCAGCUUGUUGGUGGGGUAGUGGCUUACCAAGGCUUUGACGGGUAGCCGGCCUGAGAGGGUGACCGGCCACAUUGGGACUGAGAUACGGCCGAGACUCCUACGGGAGGCAGCAGUGGGGAAGAUUGCACGAUGGGCGGAAGCCUGAUGCAGCAACGCCGCGUGCGGGAUGACGGCCUUCGGGUUGUAAACCGCUUUCGCCUGUGACGAAGCGGGAGUGACGGGAAUGGGUAAAGAAGCACCGGCUAACUACGUG